This 322-nucleotide ribosomal RNA is filed under the name uncultured bacterium. RNAcentral describes it as "partial 16S ribosomal RNA". The record is from RNAcentral.
CGGCCGCGUCGACGGGGGACAACGUUUCGAAAGGAACGCUAAUACCGCAUACGUCCUACGGGAGAAAGUGGGGGAUCUUCGGACCUCACGCUAUCAGAUGAGCCUAGGUCGGAUUAGCUAGUUGGUGAGUAACGAUUCUCCAACCUAACGAUAUAACCGUACCCGACCGUAGGUCCUCACUUCGAGUAAGUACGGCCCGAACGGAACCCGGGUACCCGGGUAACCCGGGUUUCCCCCGGUACGGACCGGGCCCGGACCGUUAGGUUCCGGGGUAGGGGGACCGGAACGGAACGGCCAACCAACGGGGAAGGGGUAAGGUAGG